AUGUAUGAAUUUAAAGGUUCGAACAGACCUAUUAAUUGGGCUACUGCUCCCAAUCAUUAUCUUAAUCCAACAUCGAGGUCGCAAGCCUUCCUGUAAAUUCGAGCUCUGGAGGAAGAUUACUGCUGUUAUCCCUAAGGUAACUUAUUCUACUAAUCAAUAAUAAUGGAUCUAAGAAUCAUAAAUAAAUGUAUAAUAAAUAAUAAAAGUUAAAUAUAUAUCUUUUGUCGCCCCAACAAAAAAGUCUAAUCAACAGCAGUAAAAAUGAAACACAACAGCCAUUAAAAUUGACCAUUAAAGCUCUAUAGGGUCUUCUCGUCUUCCAAAAGAAUUUGAGCCUUUUAACUCAAAAGCUAAAUUCUAACUUAUUUAAUUGAGACAGUUAGAGCCUCGUCAAGCCCUUCAUUCCAGCCCCCUAUUAAAAGACUAAUGAUUAUGCUACCUUUGCACGGUCAAAAUACCGCGGCCGUUAAAUAAUUAUCACCGGGCAGGCUUGACCUCAUAUAAUAAAACAAGAGGACAUGUUUUUG
Molecule: ribosomal RNA, 527 nt
Filed under: Mnais costalis
Lineage: Eukaryota; Metazoa; Arthropoda; Insecta; Odonata; Calopterygidae
Description: partial 16S ribosomal RNA
Source: RNAcentral